This 24-nucleotide non-coding RNA is filed under the name Cricetulus griseus (Chinese hamster). Lineage: Eukaryota; Metazoa; Chordata; Mammalia; Rodentia; Cricetidae. The record is from RNAcentral.
CUGGGCUCUUAGAGAAUAAAAGUC